This 403-nucleotide ribosomal RNA is filed under the name bacterium. RNAcentral's name for it is "partial 16S ribosomal RNA". It matches the Rfam family "Bacterial small subunit ribosomal RNA", at positions 355 to 776 of the family's 1533-position model. The record is from RNAcentral.
UGGGGAAUAUUGCACAAUGGGGGAAACCCUGAUGCAGCGACGCCGCGUGAACGAAGAAGGUAUUCGUAUCGUAAAGUUCUGUCCUAUGGGAAGAUAAUGACAGUACCAUAGAAGAAAGCUCCGGCUAAAUACGUGCCAGCAGCCGCGGUAAUACGUAUGGAGCGAGCGUUGUCCGGAAUUAUUUGGCGUAAAGGGUACGCAGGCGGUUUAAUAAGUCGAAUGUUAAAGAUCGGGGCUCAACCCCGCAAAGCAUUGGAAACUGAUAAACUGGAGUAGUGGAGAGGAAAGUGGAAUUCCUAGUGUAGUGGUGAAAUACGUAGAUAUUAGGAGGAAUACCAGUAGCGAAGGCGACUUUCUGGACACAAACUGACGCUGAGGUACGAAAGCGUGGGGAGCAAACAGG